UUAAUAUGUACGUUCCCGUGACACUGGUGGUGUAACAGAGUGGUUUUGAUUCUGGUCAGAUUGAACCGCUGGUGGAUGCGUUGGCUAUUGAGCGUGUCGAAUGGCAACACGUGACUGGCCUGCGGCUGGCGGCGAACGGGUGAGUAAUGUACUGGACCUGUGCCAGUGGGGAUAACUACGCGAAAGCGUAGCUAAUACCGCAUACGCCCUGGGGAAAGUGGGGACUCUUCAGCCUCGCACUAUUAGAGCGGCCGAUAUCGGAUUAGCUAGUUGGUGGGGUAACGGCUCACCAAGGCGACGAUCCGUAGCUGGUUUGAGAGGACGACCAGCCACACUGGGACUGAGACAACGACUCCUACGGGAGGCAGCAGUGGGGAAUUUUGAUAAUGGGGAACUCGGAUCCAGCCAUUCCAGCAGCGAAGUAAAGGCCUCUCUGGUUGUAAAGCACUUUUAAGAGAGGAAACGGCACGGGAUAAUACCCGUGCAACUGACGUAAAUUGCAGAAUAAGCACCGCAUAACUACGUGCCAGCAGCCGCGGUAAUACGUGGUAAGGUGCAAGCGUUAAUCGGAAUUACUGGGCGUAGCGUGCGCAGGCGGUUCGGAAAGAAAGAUGUGAAAUCCCAGAGCUUAACUUUGAACCUAAUUUUUAACUACCGAGCUAGAGUGUCAGAGGGAGGUGGAAUUCCGCGUAGCAGUGAAAUGCGUAGAUAUGCGGAGGAACACCGAUGGCGAAGGCAGCCUCCUGGGAUAACACUGACGCCUGCGCACGAAAGCGUGGGGAGCAAACAGAUUAGAUACCCUGGUAGUCCACGCCCUAAACGAUGUCAACUAGCUGUUGGGGCCUUCGGGCCUUUAUAUGCAGCUAACGCGUGAAGUUGACCGCCUGGGAGUACGGUCGCAAGAUUAAACUCAAAGGAAUUGACGGGACCCGCACAAGCGGUGGAUGAUGUGAUUGACCUGAUGCAACGGAAAAUCCUACCUACCCUUGACAUGUCUGGAAUCCCGAAGAGAUUUGGGAGUGCUCGCAAGAGAACCGGAACACAGGUGCUGCAUGACUGUCGUCAGCUCGUGUCGUGAGAUGUUGUCGUCCGCAACGAGCGCAACCUUGUCAUUAGUUGCUACGAAAGGGCACUCUAAUGAGACUGCCGGUGACAAACCGGAGGAAGGUGGGGAUGACGUCAAGUCCGUCGGCCCUUAUGGGUAGGCUUCACACGUCAUACAAUGGUUGGACAGAGGGUCGCCAACCCGCGAGGGGGAGCCAAUCCCAGAAACCCGAUCGUAGUCCGAUCGCAGUCUGCAACCGACUGCGUGAAGUCGGAAUCGCUAGUAAUCGCGGAUCAGCAUGUCGCGGUGAAUACGUUCCCGGGUCUUGUACACACCGCCUGUCACACCAUGGGAGUGGGUUUUACCAGAAGUAGUUAGCCUAACCGUAAGGAGGGCGGACACGCACGGUAGGAUUCACGACUGGGGUGAAGUCGUAACAAGGUAG
RNAcentral lists this ribosomal RNA (1490 nucleotides) under uncultured Bordetella sp. Its description in RNAcentral is "partial 16S-23S ribosomal RNA intergenic spacer". It matches the Rfam family "Bacterial small subunit ribosomal RNA". The record is from RNAcentral. Lineage: Bacteria; Pseudomonadati; Pseudomonadota; Betaproteobacteria; Burkholderiales; Alcaligenaceae.